GAUUACAUUCGUAAAGGAGAAAGAGAAAGUACCCACCGUGGAUAAAUUGGAUUGAGUCUCUGUUGAUAACAAUGCAAAGGGCUAUUUAUAUCAUUCACUAACUACUUAGUCAUAACACAUUCAAAAAAUUAUCAUUAAUCACUGAACCUCAAGCCUUUUGGUUAAAGAACCUGUCAGUAAAGUGGCUCUCAUUGACAAUGCCCUUACACUUGCUGUUAUUACCAAAAUGUAAAGGGUAGGGGAAAAGAAAUGGGGGGAACGAAUUUUGGUUCACUUUCCCUUACUUUGUCUCUACUUCCCAAAUAGGGAAAAGUUGCAUUCUCUUAUAAUUUCCCUCUUAUUUCUUUUCUCCAUUUUCUCCUCUUCCAACCAUAACGUUAAUAUAUUAACUGUUCACUUCUGCUAGACUCCCUUUCCACAAAGGGGAAUUCUAUGGAUGAAAUGCGGACAAAAAAAAAAGAAAAUCCAGAAGGUAAUAUCCUUGUAAGAAUAAAAGCAUCAUAUUUGUGAUCAGAAAAUUCAAAUCUGCAGAAAGAUACAUGGAACUCAUAUGCAGUAAAAAGAAAUAACAAACCAAUCGGCAAAAUCACUCCAGA
This 596-nucleotide unclassified non-coding RNA is filed under the name Hevea brasiliensis (rubber tree). The record is from RNAcentral. Lineage: Eukaryota; Viridiplantae; Streptophyta; Magnoliopsida; Malpighiales; Euphorbiaceae.